RNAcentral lists this unclassified non-coding RNA (471 nucleotides) under Penicillium adametzioides. RNAcentral describes it as "sequence contains ITS1 and 5.8S rRNA gene". The stretch from base 194 to 347 matches the Rfam family "5.8S ribosomal RNA". Lineage: Eukaryota; Fungi; Ascomycota; Eurotiomycetes; Eurotiales; Aspergillaceae. The record is from RNAcentral.
UUUCCGUAGGUGAACCUGCGGAAGGAUCAUUACUGAGUGAGGGCCUUCGGGUCCAACCUCCCACCCGUGUCUAUUGUACCAUGUUGCUUCGGCAGGCCCGCCUUAUUAACCGCCCCGGGCCCGCGCCUGCCGAAGACCCCUCUGAACGCUGUCUGAAGAUUGCCGUCUGAGCGAAAACAUAUAAAUUAUUUAAAACUUUCAACAACGGAUCUCUUGGUUCCGGCAUCGAUGAAGAACGCAGCGAAAUGCGAUAACUAAUGUGAAUUGCAGAAUUCAGUGAAUCAUCGAGUCUUUGAACGCACAUUGCGCCCUCUGGUAUUCCGGAGGGCAUGCCUGUCCGAGCGUCAUUGCUGCCCUCAAGCCCGGCUUGUGUGUUGGGUCUCGUACGGGCCCGAAAGGCAGCGGCGGCACCGUGUCCGGUCCUCGAGCGUAUGGGGCUUUGUCACCCGCUCUGUAGGCCCGGCCGGCGCC